GGGGACAACCCGCCGAAAGGCGGGCUAAACCCGCGUACAUGCCACCGGGGCAUCCCGGAGGCAGGAAAGGCUUCGGCCGGACAGGGAUGGGCAUGCGGCGCAUUAGGCAGUAGGCGGGGUAACGGCCCACCUAACCGACGAUGCGUAGGGGUUCUGAGAGGAAGGUCCCCCACACUGGUACUGAGACACGGACCAGACUCCUGCGGGAGGCAGCAGUGAGGAAUAUUGGUCAAUGGUCGGGAGACUGAACCAGCCAAGCCGCGUGAGGGAUGAAGGUACAGAGUAUCGUAAACCUCUUUUGUCAGGGAACAAAGGCGGGGACGUGUCCCCGGAUGAGUGUACCUGAAGAAAAAGCAUCGGCUAACUCCGUGCCAGCAGCCGCGGUAAUACGGAGGAUGCGAGCGUUAUCCGGAUUUAUUGGGUUUAAAGGGUGCGCAGGCGGUCUGUUAAGUCAGCGGUCAAAGCCCGGGGCUCAACCCCGGCCCGCCGUUGAAACUGGCAGUCUCGAGUUGGAGAGAAGUAUGCGGAAUGCGCGGUGUAGCGGUGAAAUGCAUAGAUAUCGCGCAGAACUCCGAUUGCGAAGGCAGCAUGCCGGCUCCACACUGACGCUGAGGCACGAAAGCGUGGGUAUCGAACAGGAUUAGAUACCCUGGUAGUCCACGCAG
This 665-nucleotide ribosomal RNA is filed under the name uncultured bacterium. RNAcentral describes it as "bacterial SSU rRNA". It matches the Rfam family "Bacterial small subunit ribosomal RNA", at positions 139 to 802 of the family's 1533-position model. The record is from RNAcentral.